This 411-nucleotide ribosomal RNA is filed under the name Verrucomicrobiota bacterium. RNAcentral's name for it is "Verrucomicrobia bacterium partial 16S ribosomal RNA". It matches the Rfam family "Bacterial small subunit ribosomal RNA", at positions 355 to 776 of the family's 1533-position model. The record is from RNAcentral. Lineage: Bacteria; Pseudomonadati; Verrucomicrobiota.
UGGGGAAUCUUGCACAAUGGGCGAAAGCCUGAUGCAGCGACGCCGCGUGCGGGAUGAAGGCCUUCGGGUUGUAAACCGCUUUCAGCAGGGACGAGGCCGCAAGGUGACGGUACCUGCAGAAGAAGCCCCGGCUAACUACGUGCCAGCAGCCGCGGUAAUACGUAGGGGGCAAGCGUUAUCCGGAUUCAUUGGGCGUAAAGCGCGCGUAGGCGGUUUGUUAGGUCAGGGGUGAAAUCCCGGGGCUCAACCCCGGAACUGCCUUUGAUACUGGAAGUCUUGAGUAUGGUAGAGGUGAGUGGAAUUCCGAGUGUAGAGGUGAAAUUCGUAGAUAUUCGGAGGAACACCAGUGGCGAAGGCGGCUCACUGGACCAUUACUGACGCUGAGGUGCGAAAGCGUGGGGAGCAAACAGG